GAUCUCUUCCCGUARGGUGACCUGCGGAAGGAUCAUUA
RNAcentral lists this ribosomal RNA (38 nucleotides) under Pichia kudriavzevii. Its description in RNAcentral is "partial 18S ribosomal RNA". The record is from RNAcentral. Lineage: Eukaryota; Fungi; Ascomycota; Pichiomycetes; Pichiales; Pichiaceae.